This 254-nucleotide ribosomal RNA is filed under the name uncultured bacterium. RNAcentral's name for it is "partial 16S ribosomal RNA". It matches the Rfam family "Bacterial small subunit ribosomal RNA", at positions 524 to 776 of the family's 1533-position model. The record is from RNAcentral.
UACGGGGGGAGCAAGCGUUGUUCGGAUUUACUGGGCGUAAAGGGCGCGUAGGCGGUCGUGCCAAGUCACUUGUGAAAUCUCCGGGCUUAACUCGGAACGGUCAAGUGAUACUGUCGGACUAGAGUACAGAAGGGGCAACUGGAAUUCUCGGUGUAGCGGUGAAAUGCGUAGAUAUGCGGAGGAACACCGAUGGCGAAGGCAAUCCCCUGGACCCGUACUGACGCUCAUGCACGAAAGCGUGGGGAGCAAACAGG